RNAcentral lists this transfer RNA (84 nucleotides) under Candidatus Uhrbacteria bacterium RIFCSPHIGHO2_12_FULL_54_23. RNAcentral describes it as "tRNA-Tyr". It matches the Rfam family "tRNA". From Rfam's summary of the family: Transfer RNA (tRNA) molecules are approximately 80 nucleotides in length. Their secondary structure includes four short double-helical elements and three loops (D, anti-codon, and T loops). Further hydrogen bonds mediate the characteristic L-shaped molecular structure. tRNAs have two regions of fundamental functional importance: the anti-codon, which is responsible for specific mRNA codon recognition, and the 3' end, to which the tRNAs corresponding amino acid is attached (by aminoacyl-tRNA synthetases). tRNAs cope with the degeneracy of the genetic code in two manners: having more than one tRNA (with a specific anti-codon) for a particular amino acid; and 'wobble' base-pairing, i.e. permitting non-standard base-pairing at the 3rd anti-codon position. Lineage: Bacteria; Candidatus Uhriibacteriota. RNAcentral also lists the same sequence under 1 other name. The record is from RNAcentral.
GGGUGGGUAGCGAAGUGGUCAAACGCAUCUGACUGUAAAUCAGACGGCCUUGUGCCUUCGCAGGUUCGAACCCUGCCCCACCCA